This 16-nucleotide transfer RNA is filed under the name Aquilaria beccariana. RNAcentral's name for it is "partial transfer RNA-Phe". The record is from RNAcentral. Lineage: Eukaryota; Viridiplantae; Streptophyta; Magnoliopsida; Malvales; Thymelaeaceae.
CGGGAUAGCACAGCUG